UACGUAGGGGGCAAGCGUUAUCCGGAUUUACUGGGUGUAAAGGGAGCGUAGACGGCGAUGCAAGCCAGAUGUGAAAGCCCGCGGCUCAACUGCGGUAGUGCAUUUGAAACUGUGUGACUGGAGUGCAGGAGAGGUAAGCGGAAUUCCUGGUGUAGCGGUGAAAUGCGUAGAUAUCAGGAGGAACACCAGUGGCGAAGGCGGCUUACUGGACUGUAACUGACGUUGAGGCUCGAAAGCGUGGGGAGCAAACAGG
RNAcentral lists this ribosomal RNA (253 nucleotides) under uncultured Eubacteriales bacterium. RNAcentral's name for it is "uncultured Clostridiales bacterium partial 16S ribosomal RNA". It matches the Rfam family "Bacterial small subunit ribosomal RNA", at positions 524 to 776 of the family's 1533-position model. The record is from RNAcentral. Lineage: Bacteria; Bacillati; Bacillota; Clostridia; Eubacteriales.